Molecule: ribosomal RNA, 336 nt
Filed under: uncultured bacterium
Lineage: Bacteria
Description: bacterial SSU rRNA
Rfam family: Bacterial small subunit ribosomal RNA
Source: RNAcentral
GUGAGUAGUUCAGAGUUUGAUCCUGGCUCAGGAUUAACGCUGGCGGCGUGCAUAACACAUUCAAGUCGAACGGUGACGGGGCUUCGGCCCCUGAUCAGUGGCGGACGGGUGAGUAACGCGUGAGCAAUCUACCUCUUGGUGAGGGAUAACAACCGGAAACAGUUGCUAAUACCUCAUGAAACAGCAGCAUCGCAUGGUGCAACUGUCAAAGAUUUAUUGCCAAGAGAUGAGCUUGCGUCUGAUUAGCUAGUUGGUGAGGUAACGGCUCACCAAGGCGACGAUCGGUAGCCGGACUGAGAGGUUGAACGGCCACAUUGGAACUGAGAUACGGUCCAG